This 490-nucleotide ribosomal RNA is filed under the name uncultured bacterium. RNAcentral describes it as "partial 16S ribosomal RNA". It matches the Rfam family "Bacterial small subunit ribosomal RNA", at positions 30 to 507 of the family's 1533-position model. The record is from RNAcentral.
AUUGAACGCUGGCGGCAGGCCUAACACAUGCAAGUCGAACGGUAACAGAAAGCAGCUUGCUGCUUUGCUGCCGAGUGGCGGACGGGUGAGUAAUGUCUGGGAAACUGCCUGAUGGAGGGGGAUAACUACUGGAAACGGUAGCUAAUACCGCAUAACGUCGCAAGACCAAAGAGGGGGACCUUCGGGCCUCUUGCCAUCGGAUGUGCCCAGAUGGGAUUAGCUAGUAGGUGGGGUAAAGGCUCACCUAGGCGACGAUCCCUAGCUGGUCUGAGAGGAUGACCAGCCACACUGGAACUGAGACACGGUCCAGACUCCUACGGGAGGCAGCAGUGGGGAAUAUUGCACAAUGGGCGCAAGCCUGAUGCAGCCAUGCCGCGUGUAUGAAGAAGGCCUUCGGGUUGUAAAGUACUUUCAGCGGGGAGGAAGGGAGUAAAGUUAAUACCUUUGCUCAUUGACGUUACCCGCAGAAGAAGCACCGGCUAACUCCGUG